UCCAUAUCAUGUUGAAAUACUGGUUAUCAUACAAUCACCAAAGUUAAGCAACAUCAAGCCUGGUCAGUAUCUAGAUGGGUGACUGCUUGGGAAUAUCAGGUGCUGUAAG
This is a non-coding RNA of Acanthosepion pharaonis, 109 nucleotides long. Lineage: Eukaryota; Metazoa; Mollusca; Cephalopoda; Sepiida; Sepiidae. The record is from the annotation of a GenBank genome assembly.